This is a non-coding RNA of Mycena rebaudengoi, 98 nucleotides long. The record is from the annotation of a GenBank genome assembly. Lineage: Eukaryota; Fungi; Basidiomycota; Agaricomycetes; Agaricales; Mycenaceae.
GGCCCAGUGGCGGAUGGAUUCCGCAUCCGCUAAAUGUGAUGGCUCUUGCAAUAAUGCAUUGGAAGCAGAAUACGCUCGUUCGAAUCGAGCCUGGGCCA